RNAcentral lists this ribosomal RNA (414 nucleotides) under Pasiphila debiliata. RNAcentral's name for it is "eukaryotic LSU rRNA". The record is from RNAcentral. Lineage: Eukaryota; Metazoa; Arthropoda; Insecta; Lepidoptera; Geometridae.
AAACCGCUCAGGGGCAAACCUGCGAAACUCGAAUGAGCGAACGGGGAGAUUCAUCGUUAUUCCGCGGCGUGGCUGCACGCUCUCGAUGUCGUCGGUUUCGGCCGUUCGGCACGGGGUUGGUGGUUACUACGUUCGUGGACGGCGUGCACUUCUCCCUUAGUAAUACAUCGCGACCCGUUCGAUGUCGGUCUAAGCGCCGUUCGGGAGUCUCGCCUGUUUUCCUUCGGGGCGCAGGGGAGACCGUGACGGUUGCCGACCGGCUGUCGGACGGUAUUUUUAACGGAUCGCGUACGCGUUUAUGCGCGUCCGGCCCGACGCAAGGCAUUCGUCCGUCACCACCGUCCUGCCUUAGUGCGAGCGGAGGUGCGGCGGGCCUGUUGUCGCAGCCGUGCUGUCUCGGACUGUGCGCGUACC